UGAAUUUACCAGAGUACUAUGAAUGUUAAAAAUUUAAAACUCAAAGAACUUGGCGGUGUUUUAUACCACUUAGGGGAACCUGUCUCGUAAUCGAUAGUCCACGUUGUAUCUGACCUUUUUUUGUUUUCAGUUUGUAUACCGUUGUCGUCAGGUAACUUUUUAGAGAUUAGAAGUUAGCAAUAGAAAUGUGAUAAUUUAGUACGUCAAAUCAAGGUGCAGCUAAUAAGAAGGGGAGGAUGGGUUACAGUUAUGUGAUUUAUAAUACGGAAAAAUGCAUGAAAUAGCAUUAAUUUAAGGCGGACUUGAAAGUAAAUUAGAUUAUAUGAAUAAUUUGAAUGAGGCUCUGAAACGUGU
This 354-nucleotide ribosomal RNA is filed under the name Myurellopsis columellaris. Its description in RNAcentral is "partial 12S ribosomal RNA". The record is from RNAcentral. Lineage: Eukaryota; Metazoa; Mollusca; Gastropoda; Neogastropoda; Terebridae.